UCCUCUUGUGCUGACUGCUCUCUGUUGCAUUUUCCUUAUCCCUGAAAUGAGAGUAAGAUACUCACCAGAGGUUGGAGACAGAUUCCAAAUGUGUUGACUCCCUCCCCUCCCUUACCCUGUCCUCUCUGAGUCCUAUCUUUUUUCUUUUAAGAUUUUAUUUAUUUACUUGAGAGCGAGAGAGGGAGAGGGAGACCAGAGAGCAUGAGAGGGGAGAAGGUCAGAGGGAGAAGCAGGCUCCCUGCUGAGUGGGACUCGAUCCUGGGACUCCAGGAUCAUGACCUGAGCCAAAGGCAGUUGCUUAACCAACUGAGCCACCCAGGCGCCCCUGGAUCUUAUCUUUAAAUACUUUCAUUUUUGGUUAGCAGGCUUGGCUGGGGCAGAGCCCUACGGGCAUGGGUAGGAGUGCUCCUGGAGAGAACGUAGGUGAACCUUUUCAUUUUUCCCUCUUGUUUACCUUUCCUUUUUUCCUUCCUCCUUUCUGUCUCUGCCUCUUCCUCUCUUUCUGAUGAGCCCUCGCCCAGGGCCCUCUCCCACCCACUUAGUUUUAUGCUUUCAAUAAGUCAUCUUGGGGCCUUCUGUUCUAGGAACUGUCCAUCCCUCCUCCACUCCUGGGGCAAACAGUGCGGCUUUCCAGAACGCAAGGCUUUCAGCAUUCACGUCUGGCCUUCAUCUACCUUCAUGCUCAUAUGACUGAUGCUGAAGUCCAGGCUAUCCCAAAGGCAGAGAAGGCUUUGAUGGUCUAAAUCUCUCCCCAUGCUCCAUCAGUUCUGGUAGUAUUUUCUAUCUUCUUCAGUGGGAAUCAGUUCAAAAAAAGCUGCGUCGGAAGCCUUGCAAGCCUCAACUACGGUCCGAGUCUUGACCGCUGCAGCAGAGGUCCUUACCUUCUUAGGAAGGGGCCUGCAAGACCCUUUGGUUCCUGACACCAGAGCUGACUGCCGUCCUCUCGCGGCUGCCCCAGGAUCAGCUGGAUGGAGCUGCGGAGCCUUGGCCAUUUGUACGUACCGUAGGAAAGCACCUGCCAAGGGCCGAACUGGGCGCCGAGGACGUGAAGAUGGACAAAGCAUUGACUUUAGUCCUGAUGGUUUACAAGCCGGUGGAAGAGAAAGCACGUAAGGGGGCUUUCUACCUGGACUAGAGUAAAACACAGGAUUUGGAGAGAACAC
RNAcentral lists this long non-coding RNA (1163 nucleotides) under Mustela putorius furo (domestic ferret). Its description in RNAcentral is "lncRNA (ENSMPUG00000031929.1)". The record is from RNAcentral. Lineage: Eukaryota; Metazoa; Chordata; Mammalia; Carnivora; Mustelidae.